This 524-nucleotide ribosomal RNA is filed under the name uncultured bacterium. RNAcentral's name for it is "partial 16S ribosomal RNA". It matches the Rfam family "Bacterial small subunit ribosomal RNA", at positions 28 to 523 of the family's 1533-position model. The record is from RNAcentral.
GACGAACGCUGGCGGCGUGCCUAAUACAUGCAAGUCGAGCGCAGGAAACUGACGGAACUCUUCGGAGGGAAGGCAGUGGAAUGAGCGGCGGACGGGUGAGUAACACGUAAGGAACCUGCCUCAAGGAUUGGGAUAACUCCGAGAAAUCGGAGCUAAUACCGGAUAGUUCAACGGACCGCAUGGUCCGCUGAUGAAAGGCGCUCCGGCGUCACCUUGAGAUGGCCUUGCGGUGCAUUAGCUAGUUGGUGGGGUAACGGCCCACCAAGGCGACGAGGCGUAGCCGGCCUGAGAGGGUGAUCGGCCACACUGGGACGGGGACGCGGCCCGGGCUCCUACGGGAGGCAGCAGUAGGGAAUGUUCCGCGAUGGACGGAAGUCUGAUGGAGCAACGCGGCGUGAGUGAUGAAGGUUUUCGGAUCGUAAAACUCUGUUGUAAGGGAAGAACACGUACGAGAGGAAAUGCUCGUACCUUGACGGUACCUUACGAGAAAGCCACGGCUAACUACGUGCCAGCCGCCGCCGUAA